This 4504-nucleotide small RNA is filed under the name Pongo abelii (Sumatran orangutan). RNAcentral's name for it is "retained intron". The record is from RNAcentral. Lineage: Eukaryota; Metazoa; Chordata; Mammalia; Primates; Hominidae.
GGCCCCUUUGGGGCUAUUCAGUAUCUCUGCAGUUGAAAAUAGAGCCACCUCCAUAGACAUCGAAGAAGCCAAUAGAACUGUGUAUUUAAAUGUAUCUCGAACUAAUGGCAUUGAUUUGGCUGUGAGUGUGCAGUGGGAGACAGUAUCUGAAACAGCCUUUGGCAUGAGGGGAAUGGAUGUUGUGUUUUCCAUAUUUCAAAGUUUUUUGGAUGAAUCAGCUUCUGGCUGGUGUUUCUUUACUUUGGAAAAUUUAAUAUAUGGUAUAAUGUUAAGAAAAUCAUCUGUUACUGUUUACCGAUGGCAGGGGAUUUUUAUUCCAGUUGAGGAUUUAAAUAUAGAAAAUCCUAAAACUUGUGAGGCCUUUAAUAUUGGUUUUUCUCCCUACUUUGUGAUUACUCAUGAAGAAAGAAAUGAAAAGCCUUCUCUUAACAGUGUGUUUACAUUCACAUCUGGAUUUAAAUUAUUCCUGGUACAAACAAUCAUUAUUCUGGAAAGUUCUCAAGUAAGAUAUUUUACUUCAGACAGCCAAGAUUAUUUAAUCAUUGCAAGUCAAAGAGAUGAUUCUGAAUUAACUCAGGUCUUCAGGUGGAAUGGAAGAAGCUUCGUGUUGCAUCAAAAACUCCCUGUCCGAGGUGUGCUGACCAUGGCCUUGUUCAACAAGGGAGGCUCUGUGUUCUUAGCCAUUUCCCAGGCUAAUGCUAGGCUGAACUCCCUUUUAUUCAGAUGGUCUGGCAGCGGGUUUAUUAACUUUCAAGAGGUGCCUGUCAGUGGGACAACAGAAGUUGAGGCUUUGUCCUCAGCCAAUGAUAUUUACUUGAUAUUUGCCAAAAAUGUCUUUCGAGGAGAUCAGAAUUCAAUUGAUAUUUUCAUCUGGGAGAUGGGACAGUCUUCCUUCAGGUAUUUGCAGUCCCUAGAUUUUGUUGCUGUUAACAGAAUCCACUCCUUCACACCAGCCUCAGGAAUAGCCCACAUACUUCUUAUUGGCCAAGAUAUGUCUGCUCUUUACUGCUGGAAUUCGGAGCUUAAUCAGUUCUCUUUUGUUCUGGAAGUAUCUUCUGCUUAUGAUGUAGCUUCUGUUACAGUAAAGUCCCUUAAUUCAAGCAAGAAUUUAAUAGCUCUAGUGGGAGCUCAUUCACAUAUAUAUGAGCUAGCCUACAUUUCCAGCCAUUCUGACUUUAUUCCUAGUUCAGGUGAACUGAUAUUUGAACCUGGUGACAGAGAAGCUACAAUAGCAGUAAAUAUCCUUGAUGAUACAGUUCCAGAAAAAGAAGAAUCCUUCAAAGUUCAACUUAAAAAUCCCAAAGGAGGAGCAGAGAUUGGCAUUAAUGAUUCUGUAACAAUAACCAUUCUGUCUAAUGAUGAUGCCUAUGGAAUUGUCGCAUUUGCUCAGAAUUCAUUAUAUAAGCAAGUGGAAGAAAUGGAGCAAGAUAGCCUAGUAACCUUGAACGUUGAACGCUUAAAAGGAACAUAUGGCCGUAUAACCAUAGCAUGGGAAGCUGAUGGAAGUAUUAGUGAUAUAUUUCCUACCUCAGGAGUGAUUUCGUUUACUGAAGGCCAGGUACUGUCAACAAUCACUCUGACUAUUCUUGCUGAUAAUAUACCAGAGUUAUCAGAGGUUGUGAUUGUAACCCUCACCCAUAUCACCACAGAAGGGGUUGAGGACUCAUACAAAGGUGCUACUAUUGAUCAGGACAGAAGCAAGUCUGUUAUAACAACUUUGCCCAAUGACUCACCUUUUGGCUUGGUGGGCUGGCAUGCUGCGUCUGUCUUCAUUAGAGUAGCAGAGCCUAAAGAAAACACCACCACUCUUCAGUUACAAAUAGCUCGAGAUAAAGGACUACUUGGGGAUAUUGCCAUUCACUUGAGAGCUCAACCCAAUUUCUUACUGCAUGUCGAUAAUCAAGCUACUGAGAAUGAAGAUUAUGUAUUGCAAGAAACAAUAAUAAUAAUGAAAGAAAACAUAAAAGAAGCUCAUGCCAAAGUUUCCAUUUUGCCGGAUGACCUUCCUGAAUUGGAGGAAGGAUUUAUUGUCACUGUCACUGAGGUGAACCUGGUGAACUCUGACUUCUCUGCAGGACAGCCAAGUGUGCGGAGGCCUGGAAUGGAAAUAGCUGAGAUAAUGAUAGAAGAAAAUGACGAUCCCAGAGGAAUUUUUAUGUUUCAUGUUACUAGAGGCGCUGGGGAAGUUAUUACUGCCUAUGAGGUGCCUCCACCCUCGAACGUUCUUCAAGUUCCUGUAGUCCGGCUGGCUGGAAGCUUUGGGGCAGUAAAUGUUUAUUGGAAAGCGUCACCAGACGGUGCUGGCUUGGAAGACUUUAAACCAUCUCAUGGGAUUCUUGAAUUUGCAGAUAAACAGGUUACUGCAAUGAUAGAAAUCACCGUAAUUGAUGAUACUGAAUUUGAAUUGACAGAGACGUUCAAUAUUUCCUUGAUCAGUGUUGCUGGAGGUGGCAGACUUGGUGAUGAUGUUGUGGUAACUGUUGUUAUUCCACAAAAUGAUUCUCCAUUUGGAGUAUUUGGAUUUGAAGAAAAGACUGUAAUGAUUGAUGAAUCCCUUUCAUCCGAUGACCCUGAUUCAUAUGUGACAUUGACGGUUGUCCGGUCCCCAGGAGGAAAAGGAACCGUCCGACUUCAGUGGACCAUAGAUGAGAAGGCUAAACAUAACCUUAGUCCUUUAAAUGGGACCCUUCAUUUUGAUGAGACUGAGUCCCAGAAGACCAUUGUGUUGCACACACUUCAAGACACAGUGUUGGAGGAGGACAGGCGUUUCACCAUUCAGCUGAUAUCAGUUGAUGAGGUAGAAAUAUCUCCAGUAAAAGGUAGUGCAUCAAUAAUUAUUCGGGGUGAUAAGCGAGCAUCAGGAGAAGUUGGGAUAGCUCCGUCAUCUAGGCAUAUCCUCAUUGGGGAACCCUCAGCAAAAUAUAAUGGUACCGCUAUUAUCAGCCUUGUUCGUGGCCCAGGGAUUUUGGGGGAGGUCACAGUGUUCUGGAGGAUAUUCCCUCCUUCCGUGGGGGAAUUUGCUGAAACAUCAGGAAAACUGACAAUGCGAGAUGAACAGUCUGCAGUCAUUGUAGUAAUACAGGCUUUGAACGAUGACAUUCCUGAGGAAAAAAGCUUCUAUGAGUUUCAGCUCACUGCAAUCAGUGAGGGAGGUGUUCUGAGUGAAUCUAGCAGCACUGCCAACAUCACGAUGGUGGCCAGCGACUCUCCCUAUGGCCGAUUUGCCUUUUCACAUGAGCAACUUCGAGUGUCAGAAGCACAGAGGGUUAACAUCACGAUCAUCCGUUCUGGUGGAGAUUUUGGCCACGUGCGACUCUGGUACGAGACGACGAGCGGGACAGCGGAAGCGGGCUUGGAUUUUGUUCCUGCAGCGGGGGAACUCCUCUUUGAAGCAGGGGAGAUGAGGAAAAGUCUGCAUGUUGAAAUCCUUGAUGAUGACUAUCCUGAAGGCCCAGAGGAAUUUUCUCUAACAAUUACAAAGGUGGAACUCCAGGGAAGGUAAAGGAGAAAGGCAAUUAGGAAAAAGAAAGCAAAGAGCAGAGAAAGAGAGAAAGUUCUAUUGUGUAGAUAUUAAUACUGAGCUCUAAAGCAGUUCUUUCCCUACUCUUUCUCAGAUUUGUGUGACAUUAGAACAGGACAUAGAAGGGAAAUUAUGACAAUGACUGGGUUUUUUUUUUAAAUUUUCUUAAAUAUAACUUCCCUCUGAAAAUUGAAAGUAUGUGUUUCUAUUGUGUGGACUCACUCUGGGUAGCCAGGAAGUUGAAUAUGAUAAGGGCUUCUAAUUGGUGAAGAAACAGCCUAACAGCUCUCUAAAUCACAGGUCAGCUGGUGUGGCUGAAUUUGCUUCUUUUGAUUUCCAUACUUGUGAAAGGGCUGAAGGGAGGGAUUUCUUUCAUUGGUGCAUCUGAAGUCUGUAUUGUCUUCUCUGUGGGUGAAUAACAUAGAUGCUUGCCCCAUAGUUUUAAAGUGGGGAAAAAUUUGAGUGAAAGCUAGUUGGCCAUGAAUGUGCACCAUGUUUUCAAGGAAGAUAAUGAAUUAACCAUAAUGAGUCUCUUUCAUUCCCUGAUUUAGUGGGGCAGAUUUGAUGAGGUGGAAAAACAUCUUUAGCAUGUUUAAGUACUCACAGGUUCUGCAGCUCACAGGUUGAGAGAGACCUACCAGCACCUCUGCCCAGAUAGCAGAUAGGUGGGCCCUUCAACUAGAAUAAUGCCUGCAUUUAUAAGAAUCAUAAAGACAUUUUUCUUGUGCAUGAAAAUAUUUUUGCAUUUGUAAUGUGAAUAUCAUGCUUUAAAAACUUUUUAAAAUUAAAAUAUGUCACUCAGUGACUUAAGUGUAUAUCAUCCCAUCUGGGAAAAAAAAUAUAUUGUGGGCUUACAUACCCUUCAAAUUUUAGAUUUCCCAAAAAUGCUUCUGUGCCUGGCAAUGAGAGUGAACUUGUACUCCUAGUAAAUAUAGUAAAAAGUUUGAGCUGAUCACUGACUAUUUUAAUUAAAUUAAUGCAAUU